UGGGGAAUAUUUGACAAUUGGCGAAAGCCUGAUCCAGCCAUGCCGCGUGUGUGAAGAAGGCCUUUUGGUUGUAAAGCACUUUAAGCGAGGAGGAGGGUACUUGGAUUAAUACUCUAGGAUAGUGGACGUUACUCGCAGAAUAAGCACCGGCUAACUCUGUGCCAGCAGCCGCGGUAAUACAGAGGGUGCGAGCGUUAAUCGGAUUUACUGGGCGUAAAGCGUGCGUAGGCGGCUUUUUAAGUCGGAUGGGAAAUCCCUGAGCUUAACUUGGGAAUUGCAUUCGAAACUGGGAAGCUAGAGUAUGGGAGAGGUAGGUAGAAUUCCAGGUGUAGCGGGGAAAUGCGUAGAGAUCUGGAGGAAUACCGAUGGCGAAGGCAGCCAUCUGGCCGAAUACUGACGCUGAGGUACGAAAGCAUGGGGAGCAAACAGG
Molecule: ribosomal RNA, 430 nt
Filed under: Acidobacteriota bacterium
Lineage: Bacteria; Pseudomonadati; Acidobacteriota
Description: Acidobacteria bacterium partial 16S ribosomal RNA
Rfam family: Bacterial small subunit ribosomal RNA
Source: RNAcentral